GUAGGGUGCGAGCGUUAAUCGGAAUUACUGGGCGUAAAGCGUGCGCAGGCGGUUCGUUGUGUCGGUGGUGAAAUCCCCGGGCUUAACCUGGGAAUGGCCAUGGAAACUGGCGAACUGGAGUGCGGCAGAGGGGGGUGGAAUUCCGCGUGUAGCAGUGAAAUGCGUAGAGAUGCGGAGGAACACCGAUGGCGAAGGCAGCCCCCUGGGCUAGCACUGACGCUCAGGCACGAAAGCGUGGGGAGCAAACAGGAUUAGAUACCCUGGUAGUCCACGCCCUAAACCAUGUCAACUGGGUGUUCGGGAAGCGAUUUCUGGGUACCGUAGCUAACGCGUGAAGUUGACCGCCUGGGGAGUACGGCCGCAAGGUUA
RNAcentral lists this ribosomal RNA (369 nucleotides) under uncultured bacterium. RNAcentral describes it as "bacterial SSU rRNA". It matches the Rfam family "Bacterial small subunit ribosomal RNA", at positions 527 to 896 of the family's 1533-position model. The record is from RNAcentral.